AUUGAACGCUGGCGGCAGGCCUAACACAUGCAAGUCGAGCGGAUGAAGGGAGCUUGCUCCUGGAUUCAGCGGCGGACGGGUGAGUAAUGCCUAGGAAUCUGCCUGGUAGUGGGGGAUAACGUCCGGAAACGGGCGCUAAUACCGCAUACGUCCUGAGGGUGAAAGUGGGGGAUCUUCGGACCUCACGCUAUCAUAUGAGCCUAGGUCGGAUUAGCUAGUUGGUGGGGUAAAGGCCUACCAAGGCGACGAUCCGUAACUGGUCUGAGAGGAUGAUCAGUCACACUGGAACUGAGACACGGUCCAGACUCCUACGGGAGGCAGCAGUGGGGAAUAUUGGACAAUGGGCGAAAGCCUGAUCCAGCCAAGCCGCGGGUGUGAAGAAGGUCUUCGGAUUGGAAAGCACUUUAAGUUGGGAGGAAGGGCAGUAAGAUAAUAGCUUGCUGUUUUGACGUUACCAACAGAAUAAGCACCGGCUAACUUCGUG
Molecule: ribosomal RNA, 484 nt
Filed under: uncultured bacterium
Lineage: Bacteria
Description: partial 16S ribosomal RNA
Rfam family: Bacterial small subunit ribosomal RNA
Source: RNAcentral